AAUCAACGCUGGCGGCGUGCCUCAGACAUGCAAGUCGAACGCGAAAGUCCCCUUCGGGGGACAAGUAGAGUGGCGCACGGGUGAGUAACACGUAGGUAAUCUACCUUCGGAUGGGGAAUAACAACCGGAAACGGGUUGCUAAUACCGCAUAAUGCAGCGGCACCUAAUGGUGACAGUUGUUAAAGCGGGGGAUCGAAAGACCUCGCGUCUGAAGAGGAGCCUGCGGCGGAUUAGCAGUUGGUAAGGUAACGGCUUACCAAGGCGACGAUCCGUAGCCGGCCUGAGAGGGCGGUCGGCCACACUGACACUGACAUACGGGUCAGACUCCUACGGGAGGCAGCAGUCGGGAAUUUUGGGCAAUGGGCGAAAGCCUGACCCAGCAACGCCGCGUGAAGGAUGAAA
This 402-nucleotide ribosomal RNA is filed under the name uncultured bacterium. Its description in RNAcentral is "bacterial SSU rRNA". It matches the Rfam family "Bacterial small subunit ribosomal RNA", at positions 32 to 413 of the family's 1533-position model. The record is from RNAcentral.